Long non-coding RNA from Dermacentor silvarum, 503 nucleotides. RefSeq lists it as uncharacterized. The transcript has 3 exons. The record is from RefSeq and is a predicted model, not a curated record. Lineage: Eukaryota; Metazoa; Arthropoda; Arachnida; Ixodida; Ixodidae.
CGUUGUUUGUUUGGCAUUUCGCUUCCACCACGUGCGUGUUACCAAGUUUGUAUGGGUGUUCUGUGGUGUUACCAGUUAUCGCAUUUUUGUAUUGGUGUGCCGCCGGGUAUGUCUGCUGUCUCCACGACCACUGCUUCCUACCUCCUGUGGCAAAUGACAAGCGAUUGAGGCAUUCCAGCUAUCCAGCAAAGCAGAUGAUGCAGUUGCAUCAAGGAUUCCACCACUGCCGCUGUAACUCCUGUGAACUGUGAUCUGAAGUGCACACCAGGAUCCAUGAAGGGCAGCAUUUGUUUGAAUUCCAUUUGUGCCCGUGGAACUUCUCGCAAACGUUCAAGCUGAAGCAAAACCUGCACACCUACACUGGCAUAAGGCCAUUUGAGUGCCCUUCAUGUCAUCAGAGCUUCUCAGAAAAAAAAUCUGAAACACACCUGUGCAUCCACACAGCAUCCAGGCAUUCCAGCUGUCCAGCAAAUGCGGGUGGUGCAGUUACAUCAAGGAUACCA